This 460-nucleotide ribosomal RNA is filed under the name uncultured bacterium. RNAcentral's name for it is "partial 16S ribosomal RNA". It matches the Rfam family "Bacterial small subunit ribosomal RNA", at positions 338 to 795 of the family's 1533-position model. The record is from RNAcentral.
CCUACGGGAGGCUGCAGUGAGGAAUAUUGGUCAAUGGACGAGAGUCUGAACCAGCCAAGUAGCGUGAAGGAUGACUGCCCUAUGGGUUGUAAACUUCUUUUAUAUGGGAAUAAAAUGUUCUACGUGUGUGAUUUUGUAUGUACCUUAUGAAUAAGGAUCGGCUAACUCCGUGCCAGCAGCCGCGGUAAUACGGAGGAUCCGAGCGUUAUCCGGAUUUAUUGGGUUUAAAGGGAGCGUAGGUGGAUUGUUAAGUCAGUUGUGAAAUGUUGUGGCUCAACCGUAAAAUUGCAGUUGAUACUGGCAGUCUUGAGUACAGUAGAGGUAGGCGGAAUGCGUGGUGUAGCGGUGAAAUGCUUAGAGAUCACGAAGAACUCCGAUUGCGAAGGCAGCUUACUGGACUGCAACUGACGCUGAGGCUCGAAAGUGUGGGUAUCAAACAGGAUUAGAUACCCGUGUAGUC